Molecule: ribosomal RNA, 443 nt
Filed under: uncultured bacterium
Lineage: Bacteria
Description: partial 16S ribosomal RNA
Rfam family: Bacterial small subunit ribosomal RNA
Source: RNAcentral
CCUACGGGAGGCAGCAGUGGGGGAUAUUGGACAAUGGGGGGAACCCUGAUCCAGCGACGCCGCGUGAGUGAAGAAGUAUUUCGGUAUGUAAAGCUCUGUCAGCAGGGAAGAAAGAAAUGACGGUACCUGACCAAGAAGCCCCGGCUAACUACGUGCCAGCAGCCGCGGUAAUACGUAGGGGGCAAGCGUUAUCCGGAAUUACUGGGUGUAAAGGGAGCGUAGACGGUUAAGUAAGUCUGGAGUGAAAGGCCGGGGCCCAACCCCGGGACUGCUCUGGAAACGAUUCAACUUGAGUGCAGGAGAGGUAAGCGGAAUUCCUAGUGUAGCGGUGAAAUGCGUAGAGAUUAGGAGGAACACCAGUGGCGAAGGCGGCUUACUGGACUGUAACUGACGUUGAGGCUCGAAAGCGUGGGGAGCAAACAGGAUUAGAUACCCGAGUAGUC